GAUUGAACGUGCUUGCACGGACUUGACGUUGGUUUACCAGCGAGUGGCGGACGGGUGAGUAACACGUAGGUAACCUGCCCCAAAGCGGGGGAUAACAUUUGGAAACAGAUGCUAAUACCGCAUAACAAUUUGAAUCGCAUGAUUCAAAUUUAAAAGAUGGCUUCGGCUAUCACUUUGGGAUGGACCUGCGGCGCAUCAGCUUGUUGGUAGGGUAACGGCCUACCAAGGCUGUGAUGCGUAGCCGAGUUGAGAGACUGAUCGGCCACAAUGGAACUGAGACACGGUCCAUACUCCUACGGGAGGCAGCAGUAGGGAAUCUUCCACAAUGGGCGCAAGCCUGAUGGAGCAACACCGCGUGAGUGAAGAAGGGUUUCGGCUCGUAAAGCUCUGUUGUUAGAGAAGAACGUGCGUGAGAGCAACUGUUCACGCAGUGACGGUAUCUAACCAGAAAGUCACGGCUAACUACGUGCCAGCAGCCGCGGUAAUACGUAGGUGGCAAGCGUUAUCCGGAUUUAUUGGGCGUAAAGCGAGCGCAGGCGGUUUGAUAAGUCUGAUGUGAAAGCCUUUGGCUUAACCAAAGAAGUGCAUCGGAAACUGUCAGACUUGAGUGCAGAAGAGGACAGUGGAACUCCAUGUGUAGCGGUGGAAUGCGUAGAUAUAUGGAAGAACACCAGUGGCGCAGGCGGCUGUCUGGUCUGCAACUGACGCUGAGGCUCGAAAGC
This 722-nucleotide ribosomal RNA is filed under the name uncultured Bacilli bacterium. Its description in RNAcentral is "bacterial SSU rRNA". It matches the Rfam family "Bacterial small subunit ribosomal RNA", at positions 47 to 760 of the family's 1533-position model. The record is from RNAcentral. Lineage: Bacteria; Bacillati; Bacillota; Bacilli.